AACGAACGCUGGCGGCAUGCCUAACACAUGCAAGUCGAACGAGACAUUCGGGUCUAGUGGCGCACGGGUGCGUAACCGGUUGGAACCUGCCCUUGGGUUCGGAAUGACGUCCCGGAAGGGGUGCGAAUACCGGAGAAUGUCUUGCGACCAAAGAUGUAUUGACUUUGGAUGGGCGCGAGUUGGAUCAGCUAGUUGGUAGGGUAAACGCCUCUCACGGCGACGAUCCAUAGAUGGGCAGAGAGGAGGAGCCCCCACACUGGGACUGAGACACGGCCCGGAAUCUUGCGGAAGGGAGCAGUGGGGAAUAUAGGACAACGGGCGAAAGCCUGAUCCAGCAAUGCCGGGUGAGUGAUUAAGGCUUGAGGGUAGUAAAGCAAGUUUAACCGGGAUGAUAAUGACGGUACCGGGAGAAUAAGCACCGGCUAACUCCGUG
Molecule: ribosomal RNA, 433 nt
Filed under: uncultured bacterium
Lineage: Bacteria
Description: partial 16S ribosomal RNA
Rfam family: Bacterial small subunit ribosomal RNA
Source: RNAcentral